UCCUCUUUACAGAGGCAGUUUGUUCCGAGUUCCCGGCAUUACCCGCUGGCAACAGAACAUGAGGGUUGCGCUCGUUGCGGGACUUAACCCAACAUUUCACAACACGAGCUGACGACAGCCAUGCACCACCUGUGGAUCACCCUCGAAGGCGGCUCCGUUUCGGGAGCUUGCAGAUCCAUGUCAAACCCUGGUAAGGUUCUUCGCGUUGCAUCGAAUUAAAGAACAUGCUCCGCUGCUUGUGCGGGCCCCCGUCAAUUCCUUUGAGUUUUAGCCUUGCGGCCGUACUCCCCAGGCGGAACACUUGUCGCGUUGGCUACGGCACGGAACCCGUUGAUAAGGCCCCACACCUAGUGCCCAACGUUUACGGCGUGGACUAC
This 377-nucleotide unclassified non-coding RNA is filed under the name uncultured bacterium. RNAcentral's name for it is "contains 16S-23S intergenic spacer region". The record is from RNAcentral.